GCGUAAUUGCGCGGGGAUAAACCCUACACACACUGUGUAGUUUUUUUGAAAUUUGCUUUGGGGGCAUCAGCCUAGGUGCGUGCCCAAAGGUCUAAACACCUUUUUUUUAAUGUUAAAACCUUUAACCAAUAGUCAUGAAAAUUUUUAACAAAAAUUAAAAUCUUCAAAACUUUCAACAACGGAUCUCUUGGUUCUCGCAACGAUGAAGAACGCAGCGAAAUGCGAUACGUAUUGUGAAUUGCAGAUUUUCGUGAAUCAUCGAAUCUUUGAACGCACAUUGCACCCUCUGGUAUUCCAGAGGGUAUGCCUGUUUGAGCGUCAUUUCUCUCUCAAACCUUCGGGUUUGGUAUUGAGUGAUACUCUGUCAAGGGUUAACUUGAAAUAUUGACUUAGCAAGAGUGUACUAAUAAGCAGUCUUUCUGAAAUAAUGUAUUAGGUUCUUCCAACUCGUUAUAUCAGCUAGGCAGGUUUAGAAGUAUUUUAGGCUCGGCUUAACAACAAUAAACUAAAAG
This 512-nucleotide ribosomal RNA is filed under the name Hansenula anomala. Its description in RNAcentral is "eukaryotic LSU rRNA". The stretch from base 168 to 321 matches the Rfam family "5.8S ribosomal RNA". The record is from RNAcentral. Lineage: Eukaryota; Fungi; Ascomycota; Saccharomycetes; Phaffomycetales; Wickerhamomycetaceae.